GGUGUAGCGUAGUCCGGUUAGCGCGCCUGCUUUGGGAGCAGGAUGUCGGAGGUUCGAAUCCUCUCAC
This 67-nucleotide transfer RNA is filed under the name uncultured Sutterella sp. It matches the Rfam family "tRNA", at positions 5 to 66 of the family's 71-position model. From Rfam's summary of the family: Transfer RNA (tRNA) molecules are approximately 80 nucleotides in length. The record is from RNAcentral. Lineage: Bacteria; Pseudomonadati; Pseudomonadota; Betaproteobacteria; Burkholderiales; Sutterellaceae.